Molecule: non-coding RNA, 31 nt
Filed under: Homo sapiens (human)
Lineage: Eukaryota; Metazoa; Chordata; Mammalia; Primates; Hominidae
Source: RNAcentral
UAGAUGGUGAGGCACAUUCCCACCCAUUAUC